Molecule: ribosomal RNA, 253 nt
Filed under: uncultured bacterium
Lineage: Bacteria
Description: partial 16S ribosomal RNA
Rfam family: Bacterial small subunit ribosomal RNA
Source: RNAcentral
UACGGGGGGGGCAAGCGUUGUUCGGAAUUACUGGGCGUAAAGGGCUCGUAGGCGGCCAACUAAGUCGGACGUGAAAUCCCCAGGCUCAACCUGGGAACUGCGUCCGAUACUGGAUGGCUUGAAUCCGGGAGAGGGAUGCAGAAUUCCUGGUGUAGCGGUGAAAUGCGCAGAUAUCAGGAGGAACACCAAUGGCGAAGGCAGCUCGCUGGGACGUGACUGACGCUGAGACGCGAAAGCGUGGGGAGCAAACAGG